Molecule: ribosomal RNA, 275 nt
Filed under: uncultured bacterium
Lineage: Bacteria
Description: partial 16S ribosomal RNA
Rfam family: Bacterial small subunit ribosomal RNA
Source: RNAcentral
GCGUGAGCGAUGAAGGCCUUAGGGUUGUAAAGCUCUUUCAGCGGGGAAGAUAAUGACGGUACCCGCAGAAGAAGCCCCGGCUAACUCCGUGCCAGCAGCCGCGGUAAUACGGAGGGGGCUAGCGUUGUUCGGAAUUACUGGGCGUAAAGCGCACGUAGGCGGAUCGGACAGUCGGGGGUGAAAUCCCGGGGCUCAACCCCGGAACGGCCUCCGAAACUCCCGGUCUGGAGGAUGAGAGAGGCGAGUGGAAUUCCGAGUGUAGAGGUGAAAUUCGU